This is a long non-coding RNA of Clupea harengus (Atlantic herring), 1054 nucleotides long. NCBI's taxonomy places the organism in Eukaryota, Metazoa, Chordata, Actinopteri, Clupeiformes, Clupeidae. The record is from Ensembl.
AAGACCGGAGCAAAGUUAUGUUGCUGUAACGUAGAACUCUGUGCAACCAGUGUGGAGAAUAAAUCCUCGGACCAAAUCAAGUUGCCAUUCAUUUGCUCAUCAACUGCAGACGGAAGGGAAAGGGAGUAAACCCCGGAGUUUAGAAUAUAGAACACUUCAGCCCUGGAGCAGUAAACAAAAAGUCUCCCCUGUAAUCUCCGACUAUGGUCAGGGACAGAGCAGGAAAGGUUAACAACAGGCUAAUUAAUACAAUACUGAUGGAUUUGAUUUGAUUAUAAUUUGGUAACUACAAGCCAUGAGCGCAUCUGUAGUGGUUAAUAAUAAAACUAUGAAUUAUAGACAGGACAAAUAACGCAUUAAACCUUCAGCCACUAGAUAACCGUCUCUCUCUGGGCCAGCAAAUUGCCCCUCCCCUUGAGUGUUUACAGGAAAUGAGUGGGUGUUUCCUCUCACACUGAAAUGUUCUGUGAGGGUUUGAUACACGUCCUGAACCUCGGCGUCUAGAACACUGGAAACUGAAUGUCUCCUGUGCCACUGGCUGCUGGAAACCCCCAAAACAGAAUGUUUUGAACAUGAGGUCCAUGUUUGAACCUCCUACCUUCAGCAGUGGAGCAGCACAGUCUAAACCUCAAUCAAAGGCACACAGACCCCCAUCUCCAGUUCCCAGCUGUGUUUCAAUGAAGAGUGAUGGGUCCAUGUUUGAACCUCCUACCUUCAGCAGUGGAGCAGCACAGUCUAAACCUCAGUGAGUCUUUGUCUUUCAGAUUAGUGCAGGAUUUGUGUAACUCAGAGGAGUUGAAUUUAGUGUUUUUGGGUUGUCGGUUGUUGUUGUUGUUUUGUUGUGAUUUGAGUGAGUCAUCUGUCUGUAUGUGGCAGAGACCAUUGUGCCCACACUCAACUCAUCCAAGUUUCAACAUGUUCCUACACAAGAAGAGUUCCCUCCCUGUGUCAACCAAGUUUGAUUUCCCUUCGUGCUCAGCAUCUGAUUGAGAUGUAUUUUCACACAAUAUCCAUUACAACAAUUUGAAAUGGUUCCCAUUUUGAGGUUCCCAGC